RNAcentral lists this ribosomal RNA (1108 nucleotides) under Bacillus pumilus. RNAcentral describes it as "bacterial SSU rRNA". It matches the Rfam family "Bacterial small subunit ribosomal RNA", at positions 34 to 1134 of the family's 1533-position model. Lineage: Bacteria; Bacillati; Bacillota; Bacilli; Caryophanales; Bacillaceae. The record is from RNAcentral.
CGGAGGCGGGGUGCUAAUACAUGCAAGUCGAGCGGACAGAAGGGAGCUUGCUCCCGGAUGUUAGCGGCGGACGGGUGAGUAACACGUGGGUAACCUGCCUGUAAGACUGGGAUAACUCCGGGAAACCGGAGCUAAUACCGGAUAGUUCCUUGAACCGCAUGGUUCAAGGAUGAAAGACGGUUUCGGCUGUCACUUACAGAUGGACCCGCGGCGCAUUAGCUAGUUGGUGAGGUAACGGCUCACCAAGGCGACGAUGCGUAGCCGACCUGAGAGGGUGAUCGGCCACACUGGGACUGAGACACGGCCCAGACUCCUACGGGAGGCAGCAGUAGGGAAUCUUCCGCAAUGGACGAAAGUCUGACGGAGCAACGCCGCGUGAGUGAUGAAGGUUUUCGGAUCGUAAAGCUCUGUUGUUAGGGAAGAACAAGUGCAAGAGUAACUGCUUGCACCUUGACGGUACCUAACCAGAAAGCCACGGCUAACUACGUGCCAGCAGCCGCGGUAAUACGUAGGUGGCAAGCGUUGUCCGGAAUUAUUGGGCGUAAAGGGCUCGCAGGCGGUUUCUUAAGUCUGAUGUGAAAGCCCCCGGCUCAACCGGGGAGGGUCAUUGGAAACUGGGAAACUUGAGUGCAGAAGAGGAGAGUGGAAUUCCACGUGUAGCGGUGAAAUGCGUAGAGAUGUGGAGGAACACCAGUGGCGAAGGCGACUCUCUGGUCUGUAACUGACGCUGAGGAGCGAAAGCGUGGGGAGCGAACAGGAUUAGAUACCCUGGUAGUCCACGCCGUAAACGAUGAGUGCUAAGUGUUAGGGGUUUCCGCCCCUUAGUGCUGCAGCUAACGCAUUAAGCACUCCGCCUGGGGAGUACGGUCGCAAGACUGAAACUCAAAGGAAUUGACGGGGGCCCGCACAAGCGGUGGAGCAUGUGUUUAAUUCGAAGCAACGCGGAAGAACCUUACCAGUCUUGACAUCCUCUGAACAACCCUAGAGAUAGGGCUUUCCCUUCGGGGACAGAGUGACAGGUGGUGCAUGAUGUCGUCAGCUCGUGUCGUGAGAUGUUGGUAGUCCCGCACGAGCGCAACCUUGAUCUUAGUUGCCAGCAUUCAGUUGG